CCUACGGGAGGCUGCAGUCGGGAAUAUUGCGCAAUGGAGGAAACUCUGACGCAGUGACGCCGCGUAUAGGAAGAAGUUUUUCGGAAUGUAAACUAUUGUCGUUAGGGAAGAGAAAGGACAGUACCUAAGGAGGAAGCUCCGGCUAACUACGUGCCAGCAGCCGCGGUAAUACGUAGGGAGCGAGCGUUAUCCGGAUUUAUUGGGUUUAAAGGGUGCGUAGGCGGAGCGUUAAGUCAGUGGUCAAAUUGAGGGGCUCAACCCCUUCCCGCCAUUGAAACUGGCGCUCUUGAGUGGAAGAGAAGUAUGCGGAAUGCGUGGUGUAGCGGUGAAAUGCAUAGAUAUCACGCAGAACCCCGAUUGCGAAGGCAGCAUGCCGGCUUCCUACUGACGCUGAAGCACGAAAGCGUGGGGAUCGAACAGGAUUAGAUACCCCUGUAGUC
Molecule: ribosomal RNA, 440 nt
Filed under: uncultured bacterium
Lineage: Bacteria
Description: partial 16S ribosomal RNA
Rfam family: Bacterial small subunit ribosomal RNA
Source: RNAcentral